UAUCUGUGGCAGAUGUUGAUCGGUGGAUUCUUCAUCUAACAAGAAGGUCUAUUAAAAAUCUUGAGCUGGACAUUUGGUUCGAGCAACGCUAUAACAUACCUUGGUGCUUAUUCUCUUGUCAAAGUUUACAUCAUUUAAAUUUGUUUUGUUCUUCGCUUAAACCUCCAGCGAUGUUUGAAGGCUUCAUGAACUUGAAAAGUCUUCAAUUGGAACAAGUUACAGUGGCUAAAGAUGCUUUUGAAAACUUGAUAUCUGGCUCCCCUUUGCUUGAAAAAUUGGUUUUGAAAAAAGUUGAUGGAUUCACUCAAAUUAACAUUCAUUCACCAAGUAUCAAGUAUGUUGACAUUAGGGGUAAUUUUGAGGGUAUUAGCUUUGACAACACCUCCCAACUAGCUAAGGUGUUUGUUAAUUUAAGUUCGUAUUUGAACUCUGAAACCGGUCAAAGUAUGUUCCAUGGAUGCUCUAGCAACUUGCUUAAAUUUUUCGAUCAUCUACACAACAUCCAGAGCCUACUGAUUGCUUCCUAUUCUAUAAAGGUAUACUGCUCAAGCAUAUGAAUGUUGAAUUUGACUGUAUGAGUGUGAUCAUGUGUAUGCAACUCUUGAUCUGUAACUGUAAGUAUUAGAAACAUUAUAUUCUGAUUUAGAGUCACUCUUCUGUUUUGCUUCAGUAUUUGGCUGCAGGUGUGGUGCCAGUAAAGCUUCCUACACUUUGUAUUAAUCUAACAUUUCUUUCCAUAUGCCUAAACUUCAACGACUUGACGGAAAUUUCGGCUGUUCUUUGCUUGCUCAAAAGCUCGCCUAAUCUUCAAACAUUCAAAAUGUUUGUGAGUAAUCAUUCAAAAUUUUGAUAUGAUGUAUAUCUAUCAUAUGCAUAUGAUAUUUUCCCUAUGCUGAACCAUGAAUUUGUAACAAUUGCAUGUAGGCACGACUUAAGGAGGAGACAGACCUUUUAACACACACCUCCUAUUGUUGGGAAGAUAUCUUUUCGGAGCCAGAUAUGCUCCUCAAAUUGCAACAUGUGGAGAUACAAGACAUCUCUGGUACCAAAUCUGAAUUAGAUUUUAUCAGAUUUCUACUUCUCUAUUCACCUGUGCUCAAAAAGAUGAUUGUGGAGCCUGUUGAAAACGUCAAACCGGAGUUGAUAACAGAACUAAUCCGGUUCAGGAGAGCGUCCGAACAAGCUGAAGUUAUUUACAAAGCAAAGGAUUCUUGAUAAUGUUUCUUAUUCAACACCUAUCUAGCUCUUCUGAAUUUGUACUUCAAAGAAAUAUUGGCCCCCUCACCCAAAACUAUAAGAGCAUCUCAUUCCAACUGUUAUUUGUGUUUUUAAGUGGAUUCAUUUUAUACAAUAUCACUUAUCUUUAGUUAAUAAAAUCCUAAAUCUUUCUACGACAAAAUUAUUAUGAAAUGUGUUCACUAGCUAGAUUUUACAUCCUAAUACUUUUAACAAUAACUCAUUAUGUAUGAAUUUGUAGUAUGUAUCAAUGAGUUGAAACUAUUUUGAUUACUCUAACAAUGUUUAGAUUUAAAUAUAAACAAAAAAUUAUUCAUAUCUUGUGGAGCAAAAUACAAUCAAAAUUUAUCUUUUGUAACAACUAUUUGGAUAGGUGUAAUAAUCCACUUUCUUGUCUAUAAAGUGUUUCAAAUUUUACCAAGAAAAAAAAAAGUGUUCAAAAUUUUUUCUCUGUAAAUUUUAAUGGCCUUUUUUUUUUUACCCCUUAUACUCACUUUAUUAUUUUCUAUAGAGAAUUCAAUGAAACAAGUCACCCUACAAAAUGAAAUAAAAUAGAAAGCAUUUAAAAAAGAUAGUUUAUGCCAAAGAAAAUGCAAUUAAUUAUACACAUUAAAAAAAGAAAUGAAGUUGUAAUGUAUCUGGCUCAGAAACCAAGAGAGAAUCCACUCUCUAACUCUCAAAUGAGAAACUCAAGUUUUAUAUAUUUCAAAUUGUGGUAAUACAUGAAGAAGUGGCCUUAUUUAUAGCAAUCCUAGAGGCCAUAUGGUAGCUGAAAUAGUGCUGAUAAUUAAUACAUCAAUGGAAACACAAUCUAGUAAAUGUCAAACAUGGUGGCUUGUUGGCCUUAUUGUCAAUAGUAGGGUGGGCUGCUCUUACUCUGUAUCAGUAUCCCCCCCCCCCCCCAAUGCCAUUCACUCUUUUUGUUUUAUAUUAGUAAGGAAAUACUCCUUCCGUCCCAAAUUGUACGACGUUUUGGGUAUUUCAUACGUAUUAAGAAAUGUAAUUAAUUUUGUGUGGGAAAGAAAUAUUAUGAGUUGUUUUACAAAAUUGUAAUUAAUAAAUGACAUGGGAAAAAUAAAUGAAUGAUUUGGAAUGAGAGAAAGUAAUAAAUAGUUAAGAAUAUAAUAGGAAAAAUAACGUUAAUGAUUCAUUGGUAUUGUAAAGCGACAUACAAUUUGGGAUAAUUUUUUUUCCCAAAGUGACGUACAAUUUGGGACUGAGGGAGUAUAUCCCAGCUUGUGAACCAAGUGCCUAGUUUCACAAAUUUUAUAACUAGAAUGUUGAUACAUUUCUAUAUCGCUUUAUUCCAUUUAUAUAUCGCUUUAUUCCAUUACUACCUCUACCAAUGACUAGAAUGUUGAUACAAUGUCUCUUGCUACCAUUUUUUCCAUAUUUGACAUGAAUAUUUUUUAAUACUAUUGACAUAUAACUUUCUUGUGUUUAGAAUGUAAAGAAUAUUUGAUGUAUGGAAUAUAUAAUAGUUAUACUAUCUAAUAACUUAGACAUUCACUUUUUUAGUGAUUUGUACUUUUCUAACUUAUUUAAAGUGGCUAACAAGUUAAGUGUGGUAAUAAGCUGUUUUAGGCAUGCUGAGUUGAUAUAAGCAAGAGUUGAGUAGAGAAGCUGAGGCUUCGCAAAAGGAAGAAGCUGUAAGCUGAGAAUAAGCUGUUUGCAAAGCUGUAAUAAGUAAAUUUUGGUCAGUUCCUAUUAGCUUAGAACCCUCCUUGGGUAGAAUUAUGUGUAUUUGUGUUGAAUUGCCCUUGUAUAAGCUAUAUUAGAGAACUUAUGAAAAUAAGUUGAAAAAAGCUAAUGAAAAUUGUCAUAAACUAUUUCAUAAGUUCUCUUAAAUAGUCUAACAAAACUUUUGGACUAUUGUAGAACAUUCUUGUAAUUGUAAUUGUAACCACACCAUUAUCUUAGUGGACCUAGCUAGCUAUGAUUCUUGUAUGUACACAUAGAUACCUCUAUACACUAACCUAGUUUGUUUUCUGAUUCGUGUAUGUACCUUUGUUUGAACAGGGAAGAAAACAAACAAAGUCUUCUCCCAGAAAAAUGAUUGAUGUGGAACCGGAUCCGGAUAGAAUUAGUUGCUUACCUGAUCAUGUAAUAGAUCAGAUUCUAACUUACGUGCCAAUUAGGGAAGCAGCGAGAACAAGUGUUUUAUCUAAAAAAAUGGAGGAACAAAGGGUACACACUACCAAAUCUUGUCUUUGAUAGUCAAUGUGUCUCUGCUGCAGCUUCCAAAGACCUGUUAGUUAUCGCUAGGAAGUUUUUGAAAUUUGCUGAUCAUGUCCUUUUACUUCAUUAUGGGCCAAUCAACAUGUUCAAGUUCUCUGAGUGUGCUCUCAUUGAUGAGAGUCUUGUGUCUGAUGUUGAUCAGUGGAUUCUUCAUCUAACUAGAAGCUCUAUUAAAGAGCUUGUGCUGGAAGUUUGGAUAGAGGGAUACUCCAAGAUACCUUGGUGCUUAUUCUCUUGUCAAAGUUUACAUCAUUUAAAAUUACAUUGGUGUUGUCUUAAACCUCCAACGACGUUUGAAAGCUUUAAGAGUUUGAAGAGUCUUGAUCUGAAUCUAGUAACAGUGGCUCAAAAUGAUUUCGAAAAUUUGAUAUCUGGCUGCCCCCUGCUUGAAAAAUUUAAAUUCACAGAAGUUGAUGGCUUCACCCAAGUUAAUAUCCGUGCACCAAAUCUCAAGUUUUUGAAAAUCAAUGGUGAAUAUGAGGAUAUUAACUUUGAAAAUACUUUCCAAUUAUGAGUUUAGAUGAUACAUUACCUGAUAUUUGAUGCUUGAUGAGCGUAGAAACUUGCUUCCUGACGAUUUGCAAUGAUUUGGAAUGAAGAUUUUGACCUAAAAUUUUGCACUUUUUGGGUUUUUGAAGGUGGAGGGAAAGAAAAUGGUGCUUGGAGUAUGGACUGGUGGGCUUUGUACAAAAACAGUAACUCUGUGUGACUUAAGUAGCGCAGGGGUAAAUAUGUAAAUUCAGUUGGGCGCAGGUGAAUUUUGUUGGGUAAAGAGCAGAAUUCAUUCUAUUUUGUCUCACAUCUCACUUGUCUCCUUUUAACAGAUUUCCCUUAUCACCCUGGCAACUUUGGCAAUUCUGUUUUACCACUAGCCACCUCAGCAUUCCCUUUCUUUCUCUUGUUUUUCCUCACUUUACUCCCUACAAACUUUAUUCCCAACACUUGGGUCUUUUCUGUAGUUAUCAAUUAUCACAUCCAUGUUACUGUCCAUACUUCAUAGAUACAUAUAGAUGGAAAAUAAUGCUAAAUUGGACAUUAGAAUGAGCUCAGAUACAAAAAUUAUAUUAUAGGAUAAUGAUGAUAUAAACUCCUAAGAUAUAACAAAACAAAUUAUAUCAGACAUAAAGAACUUUGUUUUGGUGGAGGGAGAGGAAUUUAUUAUUAUUGUUAAUUGUUAAAUAAAUAAAAAAAUUAGUAGCCGAUCUUUCCCAGGCGCUACAUUUCAUGCUGCUUCUCUCCAUCCACCGGCACUUCGUCAGUCCUCAGAUGAUAAUGUUCUUUCAGUAGUUUCCAUGCAUUUGUUUCUGAGUUUUCACCUUGCACAUAACUUAUCAACUCGUCACAGGUAGCUUGAGAAAAAUGACCUUGUUCCCUACAUGUCCCAAGAAUCUCCAAUGCCAACCCGAAAUCUCUCUUUUCUUUCAUGUGCUCAAUACAUGCAGCAAAAGUAAAUGGGUAAGGUUUCCAUCCUUGUGGACUUGCCAAUAUUGCUUUCUUCAUUGUAUGAACUGCUUUAUCCGUAUCGUUAUACAUAUAAUAGCCACACGACAAACGAUCCCAUAUUCUUCCAUCUAAUUUACCCCCUCCUCUUUUCAAAAGCUUCUCAACAUAUGCUUCAGCCUUUUCCAACAGACCAUUCUUACAGUAAGCACCCACCAUCGCACUUGGAAUUCUGACAUCGAAGCAUGUAUUCCCAGAUUCCCAUUCCUCUAGAAUCGUCUCAGCACCAUCAAUGUCAUUUAGAUUGGAUAAUGACAUUAACAUAGAAAUGUAGGUUGAAUUUUGGGAACCAUUUAAGCUUUUGCAGAUAUUCCAAAUUCUAUACACAUCGUCCUUUUUCCCAGUAGCAGCAUACUUAGUUAGAAGAGAUUGAUACGCAGCUCUCUUCGACUUUCCUCUAAUCAACUGUUCAGAUUUUUUCAACACUAUCAACGACUUGUCAAAUUGGCCAGCUUUAAUAUAUCCAUCAGCAACAGCAGAAUACGUUCGCCAGUUCAAAGUUAUGCUGUGAUCAACUUCGAUCUUCGCCAAUAAUUUCUCCAUCUCGUCUAUGUUUCCAGUAAUCGCAUAAGCAUUGAGCCAACUAUUAAGUGUAGAACUGUCGUAAAUUUUCUUGUCUUUCAUUUCUUUCAUCAGAGCAACCAACUUCUCUCGUUGACCUGUCCGAUAAUAGAGCUUUAACAGAACAGGAUAGUCUUGUGCAUUAUCAUCGGAAGAAGACUCUUUUAAUUUCUUCAUGAUGUAUUCUACCUUCUCAACAGAGUUGUAUUGCGCAUAGCAAUUCAACAUAGCACCAUAGACCUUGAAAUCUUUUGAAGUGUGUGGAACACUGUUAAAAUAUUUCUCUGCUUGAUCUAGACCGUGGACUUUAGCUAUCAAGUCGAGACGUGUCGCAAUAUCUCCUGAUAAUAAAUGAAGGUUUCUUUCAUUGCUCAUCCAUUCUGAUAUCUACCACAAGCAAAACAAACAAUUGUUUAAAAAAGGAUCUUUGAUCUUAGAACAAGCUUAGAAACAAGCAAGCAUAGGAAGCCAUAAACAGUAUAGUUAAAAAAGAGUAACAAAUCAGAGAGUGACAAAUCAUUCAUGUUGUUAGCUAAUAUUCAACAAUCAUCCUUAUUUACCGAUGCUACGACUGCAAUUCACUUUCGAGAAACAAAGCAAGCAAAUUAUUUUCUACAAAUAGGUAGCAUGUUUCAUAAGUAAAGGAUAAAAGAGGAAUAAACAAUUAUAAUUUAUUCUGCUGCGUUCACUUUUCAAACACUGAAGUGAGAAUUUUGUUCCAUUCCAGUCAUAAGGUUUUAAAAAACAGUCCGUUACCAAGAAAAAGGUCGCGCCAAAAAGGUAUAGGUAGCGGACGGCACUGUUAUUUAGUUUAUUUUAUUUACAUUAUGUGCAUUGUUGUGAUUAAUUCACACCGCGACAACCGCGAUCUGUAUCGCAGCACUCGUAAAGUAACAGCCAAAUGGCACGAAAUCGCGAAACCCUGACCGCGACAGUUAUUCAAAACCUUAUGACUGAUGUAUUCCACUCUAUUCCGCUCCGCUCAUUCUAAAGUCUAAACUAUUGAAUCAUAGAGGGAAAUUAAAUAACAUUAUCAUAUCAUAAACUAUUAUAAAAUGAAAGCAUUGAAUCAUGAAUGUGAUUGGACCUGGAGGGCUUGUUUGAAGCGACGACGGAUUCUGAGUUGUUUGAUGAAAAAGUGUAUAUCAGAAUGGCUGACAUCUCUGCCUUCUUGAAUCCACUGAUUGAGGAUAGAAGUGAUGGGAAUGAUUGGGUCACCGGCUCUGGAAAUUCGAAGGAAGAGGGUAUCAGUAGGGGUCGAAGAGGAAUGUAAGAAACGCAAAAGGGUGGUGUUGUAAUGGUUCCAUCUUGAUCUUGACGACCCAAUUAACUUCAGCAUUUUCUUUUCUGCUCCAAACGAAAAGGAAAAGGGGAGGGUUUAAGGGUUUUGGUUUAUCAACUUCACAAUUCACAUCACGAUAUUAUAGGCAAUGUUGAAAAAAUGAUUGGUUCGGUUUGAAUUGAUUAGGUUUGCGAUUUUUGUUUUGGGUUGGUUCGAUUUUGAACAUCCUCAGAUGUACGCAUAGUUCAACAAGUUAUUUUGACGUUCAAGAUUUUCAUGAUUUUUUUAAAAUAUUAACACAAAAUUAGAUUUUUUUUUUUUUUUUAACUAAGGAUAGAUUAACUAUGAAUUUUUAUUCACUGUAAUUAUGGAUUUCUCAAACAAUUCAUAAUUAAUCCAAAAAUUCAUUAUGACAGUUCUUAUGAUGUUAUAAUCAUGCCUACAAAAUUUAACUCGUGAGUAUACACUUUCUCUAAUUUUGCACGUUUUGGUUGAAAAAUUAAAAUAAAUCGAAACAUCUUCCAAUAACUUUGCAGAAAUCUUUUAUGUAUUUUUAUAAAUGUAUUUGCAAAAAAAUCCCCUCAAAAUUCGAUUUUUAGGUCGAGAUUUCCGAUGUUUUGUUUUUUGAGCUUUUUGGGUAUCGACUGACCUUUGCUUUGUAAUUAUACAGUGACUGUUUGUUUUUUGGGGUGACCUCUUUAGUACACCUUGUGCUCUAGAGAAACUAUCGUCGGUGUUAAUAUAUUCCAUUUUUUAUUCUUCUAAAAAAAGAGUACAAUGUGGUAGUUUAGGGAUUAGAAAUCGUUAGAUUUCUUAGUUGUUUGAAAAUUGCACUCUAUGUGUUUGGUAAAAUGUCUCAAUGAAUUUUUUGUUUUUGUUUUUUGGAUUACUAAUGAUAAAAUUAGUUAGAAUAUGGUUUGUUAAUGUUGAUUAUAGUAUGUUUGAUUGCAAUGUGGUAGUUUACAGUAGAGCUGUUAAAACGGGCGACCCGGCCCUAGCGUGCUUCGGGCUUUAGCGGGCCGGGCCAAAAAGCUCGGUUGACAAAACGGGCUUGAAAUAUACUACCCGAGCCCGGUCCUACACGGGCCGCAGGCUAAACGGGUCGGCCCGUAUUAAAAAUUAUAUUUUUUAUUUUAAAAAGUACUAUAAAACACUACUAUAAUUUUUUUAUAAAUAAUAUUUUUNAGGGGUAGAGGUCGGAGGGGAGAUGACUCAGGAAGCUCUCAGGCUACACAGCCUGAGGAGUCACAGGUUGUUGACCCGUCACAGCCUGUUGACCAGACUGGGGUGGAGUACCUGAACUAUCAGGAUCAGGUACAGCAUGAUGUGACGGAUGGUGGAUAUGACCAAGAUCAUAUACCACAAAAGCAGGAUGAAGGAGACGAGGAUGACAUUGCAGCAGCUGCUGCACCGGAGGUGUUACCUGUGGACCCUCCCUUUCCUGGUGGACCGACUGACUUGUCUUUGCUCCACUCUUAUGCCGGUCAUGUGGCGUUGCCACUCUGGUAUAAUUCAAAUAAUGUAAGUGUAUUUUUUUUAAAUGUUUUUUGUUUAUGUUAAAAUAUUUUCUUUAAUUUAAAUGUGUGUUUGUUUAAUUAUUAUAUCCACUUUUAUAUGUGUUUUUUUUUAAUUCUAUUUUUUAUGUUUAAUUAUUUUCUUUAAAUGUGUGUUUGUUUAAUUAUUAUAUCCAGUUUUAUAUGUGUUUUUUUUUUUAAUUCUAUUUUGUAUAUUUAAUUCUUUUCUUUAAAUGUGUGUUUGUUUAAUUAUUAUAUACACUGUUAUAUAAAUAUUUUUUUAAUUCUAUUUUUUAUGUUUAAUUGUUUUCUUUAUAUGUGUUUUUGUUUAAACCAUAUUUAUUUUUCUAUUAUUUCAGGUUCGUAAGAUCCACGUGCUUAAACCGAUUAAUCAUGGGGCCAAGAUUCUCACUCUCGGUCGCCCUAACGGGAAUGAGAAUUGGUUUUGGGAUCCGCUUAAGCAGAGCGGGCUACAUGAUUUNGAAUAAAUAUAAUUUUAUAUUACAUUUAUAUUUGUGUUAAUUCAUUGAAUUUUCACUUUUGUUUUUUACUUAGAUAAUCAACUAAGUAAAUAAUUAUUUGAAAAAUAUAUAUAAUUUAUAGAAUUUUUUUUUGUUAUGCGGGCUAACGGGCUACCCGCGGCCCAUUCGGGCUAGCCCUAACGGAUACCGGGGCUGGGCUAAAAAGCCCUAUUCAAAUUCGGGCUCAAUAUUUUAGGCCCAAGCCUUAUAUUUAUUCGGGUUAAACGGGCCGACCCGUUUUGACAGCUCUAGUUUACGGAUUGAAAUGACAUUGCUGAAAUAUAAGUGUUGUUGUUAAAUUGUUAGAAAUGAUACAAUGUCCGUAUGAAAAUGUCUCAUUGAUUUUUUGCUUUUUGAAAUGUUGUGUAGAUAUGUCUCGGAGGAAUAUGUCUCAGAGGCUUGAGAAGAGGAGUGACAGACUUAGGUUAGGGAGAGUGCAGUCCUCUACUAGUAGGUGCACGGAGGAAAAAGGAUGCACUACGCCCUCCUUUGGCUCGUCGAGGUCGAGGGGGAACGAGACUUGGUAGAGUUGAUGUUGUGGGGGAUCAUUGUCACAAACGAGUCUAUUCCAGACAGUGGACUCGACACAGUAUCAAUGAUUGCUUUAUUUUUCGUUAUUUUAAUUAUGAGUGAUUGCUUGAUUGAAUGAAUGAAUGCUUGAGUGAAUGAUAAAAAAUGUACGCAAUUGACUCAAUGAAUGUAUGAAUGAAUGAGGGAAUGAAAAAAAUUAAGGAAAAUAGAUGUUUUUUCCUAUUCUAGCAUGUUGCACACAGUGAACGUGAGUUAAAAAGUGCAAGGACCAGAGUCAAAAUAAGGUGAAAGUGCGUCGACCAAAGAGAUAUUCAAGCCAUUAAAGAAUAAUUCUACAAAUAUAUGUCUAGUUUUGAGUUGUUCCCUACUGUUGACUCGUUGACCGUACAGUUACUGUGUAAACCCUAAAUUGGAACCACUCCUUAUUCCCAUUCCAUUUUUCGGUAAGAAGAUUUUUGGUUCUUCAUUAUUUCUUUCUUCCACUACUUCUCGUUCAUUUCAAUUCCUUACUUCUUUAUUAUUAUGUUUUCAAAUUAAUUAAUGUUUUUGUUUGUCGUAGGCGUAACACAUUCAGAAUAUUAUUGCAUAUUAUUUUCCUGGAACUACUCAAUCGGUAACUUCACAUGGUAACUCUCUAAUUUCUUUCUGAGUUCAAUUUGCAUUUCAUGUGUUAAUUCUGUAUGGACUGACCUAUCACACAACAUUAUAUUUGUUCUCGUGCCAAAUUAUGACACUAUGGGUCUGUUUGGAUAAACACCUUAUUUGUAGUUUUUAUCAUAAGCACUUAUGUAUAGGCUUGCAUAAUCUAUUUUUACAACAAAAGAUAAAAUAAUGUUAAAUUGCUUCUAUAUAUGCUCUAAGUUGUUUUUCUAAGCUAUAUUGGAAAACUUAUGAAAAUUGUCAUAAACUGUUUUCAUAAGUUCUCCCAAAUAACAAAACUUCUGCUAAUAGAUAAGCUCAAAUAAGAAAAUCCAAACAUGCCCUAUAUAUGAGUAUGACAUUAUUGUAAAACAUUCUUGUAUUGCAAGUGUAACCACGCCAUUUUAUAAUUUAAACUCGUAAGAGUAAAUUAUUGUGGUGUUUUUAUUUAUUUAUUUACUGAAGGUACCUUAGUUUGAGUUUCAAGGUUCUCUCAUAGUGGACCUGAUUCUUGUAUGCAUACAUAGAUACCUAUAUGCACUAACCUAGUUUGUUUUCUGAAUUGUGUACUUACCUUUGUUUGAAUAUGAAUAUAUCUAUCUCCAGGGAAGAAAACAAACAAAGUCUACUCCCCGAAAAGUGAUUGAUGUGGAACCAGAACCGGAACCGGAUCCUGAUAGAAUAAGUUGCUUACCAGGUCAUGUAAUAGACCAGAUUCUGACUUACUUGCCAAUUAGGGAAGCAGUGAGAACAAGUGUUUUAUCUAAAAAAUGGAGGAACAAAUGGUACACACUCCCAAAUCUUGUGUUUGAUAGACAAUGUCUCUCUGCUGCAGCUUACGAAGACACGUUAGUUAUUCAGAUGAAAUUUUUGAAAAUUGUUAAUAGUGUACUUUUACAUCAUUCUGGGCCAAUCAACAUAUUCAAGUUCUCUAUGUGUGCUCCCAUUGAUGAGAGUCUUGUGUCCGAUGUUGAUCAGUGGAUUCUAUAUCUAAGUAGGAAGUCUAUUAAAGAGCUUGUGCUGGAUGUUUGUACAGAGGAACUCUACAAGAUACCUUGGUGCUUAUUCUCUUGUCAAAGUUUACAUCAUUUGAAAUUACAUUUCUGUUGUCUUAAACCUCCAACGUUGUUUAAAGGCUUUAGGAGCUUGAAAAGUCUUGAUCUGAAUCAUGUAGCAGUGGCUCAAGAUGCUUUUGAAAACUUGAU
This 11227-nucleotide long non-coding RNA is filed under the name Medicago truncatula (barrel medic). RNAcentral describes it as "long non-coding RNA (MTRU_LNC008418)". Lineage: Eukaryota; Viridiplantae; Streptophyta; Magnoliopsida; Fabales; Fabaceae. The record is from RNAcentral.